GUGGAUCGUCGCUGGCCUUUGUGGCGGCUCGAGCCCUAGAGAUCUUCGAUCGUGGAGACACCGUUACAAUGGUUACAAUGACGUGAUGGCGCCGUCAAGGCGUUCCCUGCGGGGUCCGGCGACGACCUGUGGGCUCCCUAUCCGACCCGUCUUGAAACACGGACCAAGGAGUCUGACAAGCUUGCGAGCCAACGGGAGACCAACCCCGAAAGGCGCAAGGAAGCUGAUGAGCAGGAUCCCCCAUCGAGGGGUGCACUGUUGACCGACCCUGAUCUUUUGUGAAGGGUUCGAGUGAGAGCAUGCCUGUCGGGACCCGAAAGAUGGUGAACUAUGCCUGAGCGGGGCGAAGCCAGAGGAAACUCUGGUGGAGGCCCGUAGCGUUACUGACGUGCAAAUCGUUCGUCUGACUUGGGUAUAGGGGCGAAAGACUAAUCGAACCAUCUAGUAGCUGGUUCCCUCCGAAGUUUCCCUCAGGAUAGCUGGAGCCCUAGUUGGAGUUCUAUCGGGUAAAGCCAAUGAUUAGAGGCAUCGGGGGCACAACGCCCUCGACCUAUUCUCAAACUUUAAAUAGGUAGGAUGGCCUGGCUGCUUUGAUGAGCCAUGCCAAGGAAUCCAGGGCUCCAAGUGGGCCAUUUUUGGUAAGCAGAACUGGCGAUGCGGGAUGAACCGAAAGCCAGGUUACGGUGCCCAACUGUGCGCUAACCUAGAACCCACAAAGGGUGUUGGUCGAUUAAGACAGCAGGACGGUGGUCAUGGAAGUCGAAAUCCGCUAAGGAGUGUGUAACAACUCACCUGCCGAAUCAACUAGCCCCGAAAAUGGAUGGCGCUUAAGCGUGCGACCCAUACCUGGCCAUCGGGGCUAUGCAAUGCCCCGACGAGUAGGAGGGCGCAGCGGCUGCUGCAAAGCUUGGGCGUGAGCUUGAGCGGAGCGGUCGUUGG
This 939-nucleotide ribosomal RNA is filed under the name Isotria verticillata. Its description in RNAcentral is "eukaryotic LSU rRNA". It matches the Rfam family "Eukaryotic large subunit ribosomal RNA", at positions 492 to 1442 of the family's 3401-position model. The record is from RNAcentral. Lineage: Eukaryota; Viridiplantae; Streptophyta; Magnoliopsida; Asparagales; Orchidaceae.